RNAcentral lists this ribosomal RNA (460 nucleotides) under uncultured bacterium. Its description in RNAcentral is "partial 16S ribosomal RNA". It matches the Rfam family "Bacterial small subunit ribosomal RNA", at positions 338 to 795 of the family's 1533-position model. The record is from RNAcentral.
CCUACGGGUGGCAGCAGUGAGGAAUAUUGGUCAAUGGACGAGAGUCUGAACCAGCCAAGUAGCGUGAAGGAUGAAUGCCCUAUGGGUUGUAAACUUCUUUUAUAUGGGAAUAAAAUGUUCCACGUGUGGGAUUUUGUAUGUACCAUAUGAAUAAGGAUCGGCUAACUCCGUGCCAGCAGCCGCGGUAAUACGGAGGAUCCGAGGGUUAAUCGGAUUUAUUGGGUUUAACGGGAGCGUAGGUGGUUUGUUAAGUCAGUUGUGAAAGUUUGCGGCUCAACCGUACAAUUGCAGUUGAAACUGUCAGUCUUGAGUACAGUAGAGGUGAGCGGAAUUCGUGGUGUAGCGGUGAAAUGCUUAGAUAUCACGAAGAACUCCGAUUGCGAAGGCAGUUCACUGGACUGCAACUGACACUGAUGCUCGAAAGUGUGGGUAUCAAACAGGAUUAGAUACCCCAGUAGUC